This 83-nucleotide transfer RNA is filed under the name Candidatus Peribacteria bacterium. RNAcentral describes it as "tRNA-Tyr". It matches the Rfam family "tRNA". Rfam says of the family: Transfer RNA (tRNA) molecules are approximately 80 nucleotides in length. Their secondary structure includes four short double-helical elements and three loops (D, anti-codon, and T loops). The record is from RNAcentral. Lineage: Bacteria; Candidatus Peregrinibacteriota; Candidatus Peribacteria.
GGGGAGAUGGCAGAGCGGUCAAUUGCAGCUGACUGUAAAUCAGCCGCCUCACGGCUACGUAAGUUCAAAUCUUACUCUCCCCA